GGUUUGGCCCUCAAAAAUUAUUAGCCCUAAAAAAGUAAUUAUUGAAAACCAAAACACAAAAUCUUUGAAAAUUAAGCAUAAUUUCAACACUAACACCAAGAAAAUCUAUCUACCCACAUCUAAUUUUGUUACCUUGUAGUGAAUCGACAGAUCGAGAGAUGGCUUGGUAUGAAUCGACGAGAUGGGUGGAAUUGAUUCUUGUCGCUUUUGCGAGGAGAUGGCUGAGUCGGUCGUGGCUGUGUCAGUUUUGCGAGGAGAUGGACGAGAUGAAUCCAAGAGAGAUGCAUUCUCUUUACUGUGAAUCAAAGAGAGAGAUGGCUGAGUCAGAAAGAGAAAUGGGGCGUCAAUUUUUUGUUUUU
RNAcentral lists this long non-coding RNA (359 nucleotides) under Panax ginseng (ginseng). RNAcentral describes it as "long non-coding RNA (PGIN_LNC000987)". The record is from RNAcentral. Lineage: Eukaryota; Viridiplantae; Streptophyta; Magnoliopsida; Apiales; Araliaceae.